RNAcentral lists this ribosomal RNA (433 nucleotides) under uncultured bacterium. RNAcentral describes it as "partial 16S ribosomal RNA". It matches the Rfam family "Bacterial small subunit ribosomal RNA", at positions 29 to 506 of the family's 1533-position model. The record is from RNAcentral.
AACGAACGCUGGCGGCAUGCCUAACACAUGCAAGUCGAACGAGACCUUCGGGCCUAGUGGCGCACGGGUGCGUAACGCGUGGGAACCUGCCCUUAGGUUCGGAAUAACUCCCCGAAAGGUGUGCUAAUACCGGAUAAUGUCUUCGGACCAAAGAUUUAUCGCCUAUGGAUGGGCCCGCGUUGGAUUAGCUAGUUGGUAGGGUAAAAGCCUACCAAGGCGACGAUCCAUGGCUGGUCUGAGAGGAUGAUCAGCCUGACUGGGACUGACGCACGGCACGGACACGGGCGGGAGGAGGGGGGAGGAAUGAAUGGAGGGUGGGAGAAUGAUUGAUCAAGCCAGCGCGCGGGAGGAAGGAAUGCGGUAGGGAUACAGAGUUCUCUUGCCAGGAAGGGUGAGUGACGGUACGGGGUAAAGAAGCACGGGCAACUUAGGU